CUCCCCUGUGUAAUCUCUAAUUGUCAAAUACCCCCCUGUCAAAAAAAAACUCACCAACGCCCCCCUGUGUAACCAAAGUCAAUGCAUCUAGACCCCUUAAGGCAAAUCGUGUCUCUCACUCGCGGGCUCUGCGAAUUUUUAUGUUAUUUCUAGGGUGAAAUGUCAUAAAUACCCCUGUAUAAAUAAAUAAAAAAUCCGAGUGGUCAAAUUAUAAAUAACUAUAAUUUAUAGGACCAAAUUGUAAAUUUUAAAAUUUCCAAAAUUGCAAUAAGGGACAAAAAUUGAAGAUUUUUUCAGAUCUUCUUCUUCGUUUCACUCCGCCGCCCACCUCCCAGCCCGGAAAAACUUCGGCAUCACCGCCG
Molecule: long non-coding RNA, 362 nt
Filed under: Erythranthe guttata (spotted monkey flower)
Lineage: Eukaryota; Viridiplantae; Streptophyta; Magnoliopsida; Lamiales; Phrymaceae
Description: long non-coding RNA (EGUT_LNC003868)
Source: RNAcentral